ACGUCAGCGGAGACGACGAGAGCCGUUGAUUGGACAUGAGGAAGAAGAAGAAGGGACGGCUGAGAUGCCUUGACGCGAGAGCUCAGCUAAAACGCUCUCCGCGGAUGGUGGUUUUAGCCCGAGCGGUAACGGCAGCCACGGUUUGCUGAUCGCUUCUUUAACCACUUGAUCAACCAUUUCCUCAUCCUGACCCAACCCCAAAUACAACUUUUCAUUUAUAAAGAGAAGUCAAAAACGUUACCGUUGGAUAAGGUGGUCUCCAAUGCCACGGAGGUAGUUGACCGGAGGAUUGCAGUGGCGGCGGCCACAGAGGCGGAACUGCUCCAGGCGGAUGAACACCGGGAAGGCCCCAAACGGGAUAAGCCAUUACAGGACGGUGUUGUUGCUGAAAACCAUUAUACUGCCGUUGGAUUUUUCUAUGGUUCUCUCUGGAUUGUAUCCAUCUAUGGUUAUGAUCCUCCUUUGGAAGAAUAUUCCUCCUAUGCAUCCGAAAUUUCUGCAUCAAGAACACAUAAAGAUUCCGUAACCAUUUCACAAGAAUCUCUACAAAGCAUUCAGAUAAUUAAUUUACCUGAAGAUGGCUAGCUACAUUGUGUCGAGUUAAGCCGUCUACUUUCAUCAGUUCAAGAAUCCGUGAAGGUAUCGCUUGAUCGACACCAAGUUGGUCUACCGCUUGCACAAACUUCUUGUGCAGCUCUUGUGUCCAAUCCACCUGAAAAGAAAAAGAACUUAUCAAUAAGUGCCGCUCUUCGUUUAGCCACUAUGAAGUGUUUAAAGAGAAAUAUUACACUACCUUCUUUCGA
This is a long non-coding RNA of Brassica napus (rape), 803 nucleotides long. RefSeq lists it as uncharacterized. The record is from RefSeq and is a predicted model, not a curated record. NCBI's taxonomy places the organism in Eukaryota, Viridiplantae, Streptophyta, Magnoliopsida, Brassicales, Brassicaceae. The transcript has 2 exons.